This 111-nucleotide transfer RNA is filed under the name Hadesarchaea archaeon. RNAcentral's name for it is "tRNA-OTHER". It matches the Rfam family "tRNA". Rfam says of the family: Transfer RNA (tRNA) molecules are approximately 80 nucleotides in length. Their secondary structure includes four short double-helical elements and three loops (D, anti-codon, and T loops). Further hydrogen bonds mediate the characteristic L-shaped molecular structure. tRNAs have two regions of fundamental functional importance: the anti-codon, which is responsible for specific mRNA codon recognition, and the 3' end, to which the tRNAs corresponding amino acid is attached (by aminoacyl-tRNA synthetases). tRNAs cope with the degeneracy of the genetic code in two manners: having more than one tRNA (with a specific anti-codon) for a particular amino acid; and 'wobble' base-pairing, i.e. permitting non-standard base-pairing at the 3rd anti-codon position. The record is from RNAcentral. Lineage: Archaea; Methanobacteriati; Hadarchaeota (SeqCode); Hadarchaeia (SeqCode).
GCCGGGGUAGCCUAGCCAGGUAUGGCGACAGGCCUAGCUCCGCUAGGCCCGCUAAAGGUUGCUAACCUGUUGGCCCUUUGGGCCUCCUGGGUUCAAAUCCCAGCCCCGGCG